Molecule: signal recognition particle RNA, 286 nt
Filed under: Pteropus alecto (black flying fox)
Lineage: Eukaryota; Metazoa; Chordata; Mammalia; Chiroptera; Pteropodidae
Description: Metazoan signal recognition particle RNA
Rfam family: Metazoan signal recognition particle RNA
About the family: The signal recognition particle (SRP) is a universally conserved ribonucleoprotein. It is involved in the co-translational targeting of proteins to membranes.
Source: Rfam by way of RNAcentral
GCUGGGCAUGGUGGUGUGUGCCUGUAGUCCCAGCUACUCGAGAGGCUGAGGCAGGAGGAUCACUUGAGCCCAGGAGUUCUGGGCUGUAGUGCGCUAUGCCAAUCGGGUGUCCGCACUAAGUUCGGCAUCAAUAUGGUAACCUCCUUGAGCGGGCGACCACCUGAUUGCCUAAGGAGGGGUGAACUGGCCCAGGUCGGAAACAGAGCAGAUCAAAACUCCCGUGCUGAUCAGAGUCGAGCAAAAUGAAGAAAUAAAGGAAUAUGUUACAAAGGAGAGAACAAGACAU